GGUCUCUCUGCCAUAAAGGCCAGAUUGGAGAAGUGCUGCAGCGAUGGUUGAUCUUCUGUAAGUUUUUCCCAUCUGCAUACAGAAUCUUUGGAGCUCAGCCAGACUGACCAUUGGGAUCUUGGUCACCUCUCUUAUCAAGGCCCUUGUUUGAUGGGGCGGCCAGCUCUAGGAAUACUCUUAGUUGUUCCAAACUUCUUCCAUGUAAGAAUUAUGGAGGCUACUGUGCUUUUGGGAACUUUCAAUGCAGCAGAAAUAUUUUUGUACCUUCUCUAGAUCUGUGCCUCCACACAAUCCUGUCUCUGGGCUCUACAGGCAAUUCUUUCUUCCGCAUGGCUUGUUUUUUUCCUCUGAUAUGAAUUGUCAUCUGUGAGACCUCAUAUAGAAAGGGCCAUGUCUUUCCAAAUUAUGUGAAUGAACUAAAUUUACCACUGGCGACUCCGAUCAAGGUGUAGAAACAUCUCAGAGAUGAUCAAGAAAAAUGGGAGGCCUGAGGCCUAAGUGUCAUAGCAAAGGGUCUGAAUACUUAUGUCCAUGCAAAAAUUUAGUUUUUCCUUUUUAAUAAAUUUGCAAACAUUUCAAAAAUUUUGUUUUCACUUUAUCAUCAUAGGGUAUUGAGUUCAGAUUCACGUGAGAAAAGUGAAAGGGUAAACACUUUCCGAAUACCCGACUUUGGCAGGGGCUGACUGGAAACAAAGUGGCCUUUGAAAAAAAAAAAACUAAUAGUGGCCCCACAUUGGCUGAAGGCGGGAUCAACAAUAAUAUAGCGCAGCACAAAAUGCUGGCCCAGCAGAAAGAACUAGCAGCACAAAAUACCUUGGCAGAUGUUGGCGCCCUGUGGUGGCCAGCGCCAGCUGCCUCGUUCUGUCCUCCUCCUCCCUCAGUUGUCUCUACUUAAGAUAUGAAGAAGGGGGCUGAUGAGGUGAGACGCAGGCCCCAACACUAAGCCAUCCCUACAUUCAGCAUGCUGCCUGGUCUUUCAGUGCUACUAGACAUACAGGAGAAUACAGCACCUCAUACCUAGUAUUACAUCCUGUGAUGUCUCCUCUCAUGUAGAAGUUCACUUUCCUCAUCUUUUAUAUUCGAGCCAGACCUCCAUGACGACUUCUUUCAGCCAUAUCUUAUCUCUGCAGUUCGACACACAGACAUCUUAGACUCCUCACUUUUUCAUCACCCUUUCCACCUUCUCAACUCAAAUUCCUCAUCCCGAUGCCCUAACUGUGUUAUCCUGCUGCCUCCCCCAAUACUAUGCCCAAAAAGUUGCCAAGUAUGGCACUCACUCACCACUUUUCUGUGUGGGGCAUAGCAGGAGGGAACUGGGCCUCUGUGGCUAUUUAAUAUGAUUUAAGCCACAGAAUGGCGCCAACCCCUAACUCGGGUAUACUUGAGGUUUUUGGCGCACGGAGGACAAGAGACGCGCCUAAUGUAUUGGUCACACCGGCGUUAACAAUUGGAAAAGGGUUGAGGUCAACACCGACAAGGAGACGUGCCCAUAGGAACAUCCACAAGACAGCCCACAUGCAUUGUGAGAGCUCGUUCAUUCAUUUCAUUAGGGUCUGGUUAUUUCUAAUAGCUAAUGUGCGUUCAGAUUCAACCGCAGGUGUCCAUAACCGUGCGUAUCCAGAGUGACGUCCGGAUUACCAAGUCAAUAGAUCACAUUCCUAGCUGAAUGCUGAAAUUUUUUUUAUUUUGAAUUUGAUUUGAACAUCAUUUUUCCACAAUACAAUUCAGAUGUGAGAAAAUGCACAUAAAAUAUACAAGUCUGUCUAUAGCAUCCGGGAAUGAAGAAAGCAGUCACAUGCGGCGAUGCGGGGUGUAGGCGUCAUCGGGUUCUUACUGUAUCGGGCGCUAUGGUUUACAGCAUAUCAUACCUGGUUAUUGAAUGGGGAGUGGUAAAAACAUGGCAGUGAGAUGUGUGGUCUUUGGAGGGGGGUGGUCAUCCAUGGUGGAUGUUAUAUUACAGGGGACCAUAU
This is a long non-coding RNA of Bufo bufo (common toad), 1970 nucleotides long. RefSeq lists it as uncharacterized. The transcript is spliced from 2 exons. NCBI's taxonomy places the organism in Eukaryota, Metazoa, Chordata, Amphibia, Anura, Bufonidae. The record is from RefSeq and is a predicted model, not a curated record.